This 246-nucleotide long non-coding RNA is filed under the name Elaeis guineensis (African oil palm). RNAcentral's name for it is "long non-coding RNA (EGUI_LNC060391)". Lineage: Eukaryota; Viridiplantae; Streptophyta; Magnoliopsida; Arecales; Arecaceae. The record is from RNAcentral.
GUAUCCUAAAGAAACUAAUGGAUACUGCUUCUACCAUCCUACUGAACAAAAGGUACUUGUUAGUAGGCAUGCCACUUUCUUGAAAAAUGAAUUCAUUUAAGAAUGAGGCAGUGGGAGGAAUAUUAAAUUUACCAAAGUUUAGAAUCUACAACCAAUCCAAAAAUAUUUAUGGUUGAACCAUAAGAAGAUCCUCAACCAGAAGUAUCCAAGGAUGGGAUACAUCCACAAUAUACACCUCCUCUCUAA